RNAcentral lists this long non-coding RNA (510 nucleotides) under Prunus persica (peach). RNAcentral's name for it is "long non-coding RNA (PPER_LNC006794)". Lineage: Eukaryota; Viridiplantae; Streptophyta; Magnoliopsida; Rosales; Rosaceae. The record is from RNAcentral.
AAAGAAAAUCAAAUUCAUAGAUCUCACUCUUUUUUUUUAUAAAAAAAGAUAUUCCACUUUAAUCUAAUCUAAAUUACGCAGAAAGUGAUGCGAAUUUGGGUGCAGAAGCACAUCUGCUUUAGCCAACCCUCUCUCGUACAUUUAUUUAAUUUAUGCAAAAAUAAUUUAUUAAAAUUAUAAAAUAAAUAUUUCUGCAUAAAAUAUCAGAUCAUCAAAAGUUGAUGAAACAAAAUGCACAGGAAGAUGAUGGAUUACCAGAAUAUUAUAAAUUAGUCGCUGUCGCUGCUGCUGCUGUCAUGGCCAUCCUUCUUCUUGUCCUUCUUCUUCUUCUUCUUCUUGUCGUCUUUGUCUUUCUCUUUGUGAUCGCCGUCUUUCUUGUGGUGUUCGUCUUUCUUGUCCUUGUGGUGUUCGUCUUUCUUGUCCUUGUGGUGCUCACCUUCCUUCUUGUGCUCCUCGUCUUUCUUGUGCUCGUUACCUCCUCCUCCUAUGUGGAGGGCGUCUCCAAUCUUG